This 1450-nucleotide long non-coding RNA is filed under the name Homo sapiens (human). RNAcentral's name for it is "HSALNT0342914". Lineage: Eukaryota; Metazoa; Chordata; Mammalia; Primates; Hominidae. The record is from RNAcentral.
UUUAACCAGAAGAUUCUUUUUCCUCUCUAUCAAGUCAUCACUUUCCACAUUUUAUGGAAAGAAGUUUUAUCUUUUCUUGUUAAGCUAUUGGUGAAUUUUUAACUUUGGGGUUUUGUUUCGGAUAGGUAUUGGGAGAAGGAGAGGCUGUCAACCCAUGCCACUAUGCUAUCUCUAAUUCUGCCAUCCAGACCGAGCAAACGUACUUAAGACCUUUGUGUAAGAUCAGAAAAUCAUAAGACAGCAUUAAAAAGUACUAUACAGGAGGAGAUGGAACAAGAUGGCCAAAUAGAAGCCUCCAGCAAUCAUCUCCCCGAAAGGAAUUGAACAACUAUCAAAACAAAAUUGAACAACUAUCUAAACAAAAAAGUACCUUCAUAAAAAACAAAAAUCAGGACAAUAUCAGAACGGCACAUACAAGUGUCCCCAAGUCAUAUUUGGAAUAAGAUCACUUGGGAACACAAGUCAAAGAAGGACACAGUGUUCUGCCUCUCCUGAGUAAGCAGCAACAACGCACCAUCUUGGAAUCAGGGGACGGCCCUCACCAGACAACUAAAUCUGCAGACACCUUGGACUUCCCAGCCUCCAGAACUGUCUUUCUGGCAACUGUCUAAACAUAAACCAGAGAAGGGCAAGGCAGACUCAGGAAGGACAAAUAGAAGGCUAUUUUCAUAAAUCGGGCAUACAAUGGUGGACAAAACAGCUGCCUUUCUUCCCCGUAUGGAGCUUACAGUAUAGUGAAUAUUUCAUGGGACUAGUAUCUACAGAAGGUGUUUUGGGAAGCACAGCUUUGGAGAGAGUAAUUUGCCAACAUUGCACAGAAUAAAGGCACCAUGAGGGCCCAAGGAAGGAAAAGAUUUGCAGCUGUCUUGACCACCACCACAUGUGCAGCAUCCCUCUGGGUCUCUUCCAUGACAACCCUGUGGGAAGCCAGCUUGGCAGGUCACCUUGUUCUAGCAGAUAGAAACUGAAUCAAUAUGGGAAGAGCCAGAAUUUGGACAAGGUUCACCAAACAUUCACACUGAUGCCAGGUGGGCCAAGAAAAAGGGAAUGUCCUGCCUCUGAGAAACUCAUCAUACAGUUUGGAGAUAACAUUUGUUGAAGGAGAGAAGAAAAGAGGAGAGAGGAAUGGAGUGAGGCAGAAAGGAAAUGAUGACGAGCUACUCUUCAAAAUUAAGCUGGAUAACAACAAGAAAUUCUAGAAAGCAAUUGAGGCAACCUCCACCCUAAGACCCAGGUAAACCCUACAUUUAAAGUGCUGUUCUGGGGCACAGUGAAAGAUUUCUGCCAGAAAAUUUGCUCCCUAGGAUUUACAUGAUGAUGAGAUUACAUGCUGCCUUGUGGCAACAAAAUCAAAAGUCUGUAAAAGAAAAAGCGUGCUAUGCUUCUGAAUGUUUGGAGAUCCUACAAUAGAUUUUUCAUUCAGCUAUUUUGUUGCUGCUUCAUGAGCACA